CUAUAGAGGAGUGAGGAGAAGGAUUGAAGGAAAAUAAGGGGAUAGCAACCCUUUAGGAAGACAAACAGUAUCAGCUAAAUCAGACCCCUGGAAGUUUCUAGAGACUAAGCCACUAACCAAAGAACAUACAGGGGCUGAUCCAAGGCUCCUGGCACAUAUGUAGCAAAGGACUGCCCUGUCUGGCUUCAAUGGGAGAGGAUGCAACUAAUCCUUUACAGACUUGCUGCCCCUGGUAGGGGAAUUUCAGGGGGGGGAGCACCCUCUCAGAGGUAAAGGGAAUGGAGGGUAGAGGGGAGAACUCUGAGAGGAGGGACCAGGAAGAGGCAACAUUUGGAAUGUAAGUAAAUAAAAUAAUAAUUAAACAACAGCAGCAACAGCAGCAGCAGCCACAACAACAAUAACAACAACAAUAACAACAGAAAGCCCAAAAGAAUGGACAUAGGUAUCUGUGUUGGAUAGUCUUAUGUCAACUUCAAACAGUUCAAGUUAUCUGAAAGGAGGAAACUUCAAUUGAGAAAAUGCCUCUGUAAGAGGGGGCUGUAGGCAUUUUCUUUACUAGUGAUUUAUGGGUGAGUGCCCAGUCCAUUGCAGGUGGUCCAUCCCUGGACCUUGAUUCUAUAAUAAAACAAACUAAGCAAGUCCUGGGAAGCAGGCCAGUCAAUAACAUCCAUCUAGGGCCUGUGCAUUAGCUCUUUCUUUUAGAUUCCUGACUUUUUUGAGUUCCUAUACUAAUUUCCUUCAGUGGUGAACUAUGGAUGUAGAAGGGUAAGCCAAAUAAACCUUUUCUUCCUCAACUUGCUUUUGGUCAUGGUCUUUCAUUAUAGCAACACAAAUCCAAACUAAGACAGUAAAUGAGUUUCAGAAUGUUCCCGUGUACAAAUUUUCAUUUGAUGCUUUAUGGAAUAAAUGGGAAAUAUGUAAGAAACUACAAAAUUAUCUUUGUUCCUGUGCCUAAAAUUUUCUAUGGUUUAGUGGAAUUCUAUUAAAAUAAACGUUAUUUUAACUGAAAUCUAUUGAACUCAAUCAGAACUGGAAUUGGCAAUAACAUCUUUGAACCCUGAACAAGUGAGCCUUCUCAUGGUCUCCAUAUUUUAGAGGCUAAUGAUCACCUAUACCACAAGAUGAGGAGUCUUCAUGGCUUAGGGGGUUGCAGUCUCAUGGAUUUAAUCAUCUUCCAUCCCCUUAGACUAUGCUUCAGGCUUGGAGUUUGGGAGAAGGUCUCCUCAAAGAUUCUAGAGCAUACUUUCUGACCCUUUAUUGACCCUUACUCCUUUAAAUUCAUGUUGACACGGUCUAUAAGAUUAUUACUUUAUUUAAUAUAGAGGUGUUCUUGUCAGGAAAAAAAUCUUAGGAAUAGUUUGGUGUAGCAUCUGCUUUAGAGCAAGCAAAACAUGAUCAUUGGAUUAUCUUCUUGGAGGGACAAUUACCUUUGCCAGGUAGCCAUGGAAACUAAUUUUGAGCAAACCCAACGUAGAGAUAGUAUGGUUAUGAUGAUGUUAAGAUGAAAGUUACAGGGAGCAUCACAGUGACAUGACCAGGAUUUCCAGGCAUCACUCACUUCCUAAAUCCAAGAGAUCUUAGCAGAUGUGCAUAGAAUUCAUAGGAAGUAGAAGAUUAAUUGAAAAUGGGGCUCCAUGAUAUAGUUUCCAUGAGGUUACAUUCAUGACAGGACAAGACCUAUGGAUGAUGCAGCUAUUUAAUAAUUGUGCAUACUUCUGUAAGUAACCCAUCACUUGUGCUCUAUAUGGAGUCCAAUAAACUCAUUACUUCACCACAUUGGAUUCGGGUUACAUCAUUACUUUGAUAAGCUGUCAGUGCCUUAUCUGGGGUAAAUAGAUGUUUGCUGGUUGUGAAUUCCUAGGAAAAGUUAAUAUACCAACGAGGUAUUGUAUUUUCUGUGUAGUUAAAGGGAGAUAGAAUCCAUCUGUAAACUCAUUACAGCAUUUGAGCCUGAGAAGUUUCUCCUUUCUUGGCUUAGAGGCAGAGCAGUAUUCCAGACUUCUACAUAUUGCCUCAGCAUUCUUUUCUGUUUUCGCAAAGAAAUCAAACUACUAUUCUGACCCUGUCCACAUAAUAUAGUAAUAGACAACAUUAGAGCCAGUGUAUGUGGAUUGAUACAGGUAAUCUCAUGAAAAUUAUAUAUAAUUCAUAUGAUAUAUGAAUUACUUCAUUCCAAUUGUUUCGAGAUAUAAAUAUCAAAGUUUCAUAAUUAUAUGAAUUAUAUGGAAACUUUUAAACAUGGAAGACUACUAUUUGCGUUCCUUUGAAUAGUUCCCUUGCAGAAGCACACAGGAGAACAUUAAUAAAUAUACUUAAAUGUUUAUG
This 2325-nucleotide long non-coding RNA is filed under the name Mus musculus (house mouse). Its description in RNAcentral is "long non-coding RNA chr3:80134131-80136456". The record is from RNAcentral. Lineage: Eukaryota; Metazoa; Chordata; Mammalia; Rodentia; Muridae.